Molecule: ribosomal RNA, 315 nt
Filed under: Cynortellana peruviana
Lineage: Eukaryota; Metazoa; Arthropoda; Arachnida; Opiliones; Cosmetidae
Description: partial small subunit ribosomal RNA
Source: RNAcentral
CCCUAGUAUUUUACUUUAAGUGAUUAGUAUAUAUUUGAAAUUUAAAAUUUUUGGCGGUUAAAUAUUAAUUUAGGGGAGUUUGUUUAGGAAUAGAAAUUACACUAUAAAUUUUGUUAAUUUUUGUUUAUUUAUCUCCGUUAUUAGGUGAGUAAUUUUAUAAAAAAAUAUUUUUUAUUUCAGGUCAAGAUGUAGCAAUAAUUUAAUAUAGAUUAACUACAAUUAUAAAAUUAAUGGAUAAGAUAUGAAAAUAAAUUGAAAGUGAACUUAGUUGUAAUAUGGUUUAAAAUAAAAAUAUGAAAUUUUAUAUUUAAUGUA